This 490-nucleotide ribosomal RNA is filed under the name uncultured bacterium. RNAcentral's name for it is "partial 16S ribosomal RNA". It matches the Rfam family "Bacterial small subunit ribosomal RNA", at positions 28 to 507 of the family's 1533-position model. The record is from RNAcentral.
GAUGAACGCUAGCGAUAGGCUUAACACAUGCAAGUCGAGGGGCAGCAUGGUCUUAGCUUGCUAAGACUGAUGGCGACCGGCGCACGGGUGCGUAACGCGUAUGCAACUUGCCUCACAGAGGGGGAUAACCCGUCGAAAGACGGACUAAUACCGCGUACACUUGGGAUAGGGCAUCCUGACCCAAGGAAAUGAAAUUCGCUGUGAGAUAGGCAUGCGUCCCAUUAGCUAGUUGGUGAGGUAACGGCUCACCAAGGCGACGAUGGGUAGGGGAACUGAGAGGUUGAACCCCCACACUGGUACUGAGACACGGACCAGACUCCUACGGGAGGCAGCAGUGAGGAAUAUUGGUCAAUGGGCGAGAGCCUGAACCAGCCAAGUCGCGUGAAGGAUGACUGUCUUAUGGAUUGUAAACUUCUUUUAUACGGGAAUAACAAGAGCCACGUGUGGCUCCCUGCAUGUACAGUAUGAAUAAGCAUCGGCUAACUCCGUG